RNAcentral lists this ribosomal RNA (253 nucleotides) under uncultured bacterium. RNAcentral's name for it is "partial 16S ribosomal RNA". It matches the Rfam family "Bacterial small subunit ribosomal RNA", at positions 524 to 776 of the family's 1533-position model. The record is from RNAcentral.
UACGUAGGGUGCAAGCGUUGUCCGGAAUUAUUGGGCGUAAAGAGCUCGUAGGCGGUUUGUCACGUCUGCUGUGAAAACCCGAGGCUCAACCUCGGGCCUGCAGUGGGUACGGGCAGACUAGAGUGCGGUAGGGGAGAUUGGAAUUCCUGGUGUAGCGGUGGAAUGCGCAGAUAUCAGGAGGAACACCAAUGGCGAAGGCAGAUCUCUGGGCCGUAACUGACGCUGAGGAGCGAAAGCAUGGGGAGCGAACAGG